Molecule: ribosomal RNA, 279 nt
Filed under: uncultured bacterium
Lineage: Bacteria
Description: partial 16S ribosomal RNA
Rfam family: Bacterial small subunit ribosomal RNA
Source: RNAcentral
UGCCAGCCGCCGCGGUAAUACGGAGGGUGCAAGCGUUGUCCGGAAUCACUGGGUGUAAAGGGUGUGUAGGCGGGGUCGUAAGUCAGAGGUGAAAGCCUACAGCUUAACUGUAGAAUUGCCUUUGAUACUGCGUCUCUUGAGUCUCGGAGGGGUCACUGGAAUUCGUGGUGUAGCGGUGAAAUGCGUAGAUAUCACGAGGAACACCAGAGGCGUAGGCGGGUGACUGGACGAGUACUGACGCUGAGGCACGAAAGCGUGGGGAGCAAACAGGAUUAGAUA